GACGAACGCUGGCGGCGUGCUUAACACAUGCAAGUCGAACGGAAAGGCCUUGCUUUUGUGGGGUGCUCGAGUGGCGAACGGGUGAGUAACACGUGAGUAACCUGCCCUUGACUUUGGGAUAACUUCAGGAAACUGGGGCUAAUACCGGAUAGGAGCUCCUGCUGCAUGGUGGGGGUUGGAAAGUUUCGGCGGUUGGGGAUGGACUCGCGGCUUAUCAGCUUGUUGGUGGGGUAGUGGCUUACCAAGGCUUUGACGGGUAGCCGGCCUGAGAGGGUGACCGGCCACAUUGGGACUGCGAUACGGCCCAGACUCCUACGGGAGGCAGCAGUGGGGAAUAUUGCACAAUGGGCGGAAGCCUGAUGCAGCAACGCCGCGUGCGGGAUGACGGCCUUCGGGUUGUAAACCGCUUUCGCCUGUGACGAAGCGUGAGUGACGGUAAUGGGUAAAGAAGCACCGGCUAACUACGUG
RNAcentral lists this ribosomal RNA (468 nucleotides) under uncultured bacterium. Its description in RNAcentral is "partial 16S ribosomal RNA". It matches the Rfam family "Bacterial small subunit ribosomal RNA", at positions 28 to 507 of the family's 1533-position model. The record is from RNAcentral.